RNAcentral lists this ribosomal RNA (484 nucleotides) under uncultured bacterium. Its description in RNAcentral is "partial 16S ribosomal RNA". The stretch from base 70 to 484 matches the Rfam family "Bacterial small subunit ribosomal RNA", at positions 34 to 507 of the family's 1533-position model. The record is from RNAcentral.
GGGGGGGGGGGGGGGGGGGGGGAGGGGGGGGGGGGGGGGGGGGGGGGGGGGGCGGGGGGCGGGGGGGGGCGGCGGGGGGGGGGGUGAGGCGGGGGAGUCUGGGGGGGCGGGGGGGAGAAGGUCGGGGGCCGGGCGCUAAUACCGGGUAGGUCCUGGGGGGGGAAGUGGGGGGGCUUCGGGCAGCCCGCUAUCAGAUGAUACGAGGUCGGAGUCGCUAGGUGGUGGGGUAGAGGCCCACCAAGGCGACGAUCCGUAACUGGUCUGAGAGGAGGAUCGGUCACACUGGAACUGAGACACGGUCCAGACGCCUACGGGAGGCAGCAGUGGGGAAUAUUGGACAAUGGGCGAAAGCCUGAUCCAGCCAUGCCGCGGGUGUGAAGAAGGUCUGCGGAUGGUAAAGCACUUUAAGUGGGGAGGAAGGGCAGUAAGUUAAUACCUUGCUGUUGUGACGUUACCAACAGAAUAAGCACCGGCUAACUUCGUG